AAUCAACGCUGGCGGCGUGCCUAACACAUGCAAGUCGAACGAGAAAGUGGAGCAAUCCAUGAGUAAAGUGGCGCACGGGUGAGUAACACGUGACUAACCUACCCUUGAGUGGGGGAUAACCUAGGGAAACCUGGGCUAAUACCGCAUAAUAUCGAGAGAUCAAAGGAGCAAUUCGCUUAAGGAGGGGGUCGCGGCUGAUUAGCUAGUUGGUGGGGUAAUGGCCCACCAAGGCNGUGAUCAGUAUCCGGCCUGAGAGGGCGCACGGACACACUGGAACUGAAACACGGUCCAGACUCCUACGGGAGGCAGC
Molecule: ribosomal RNA, 310 nt
Filed under: uncultured bacterium
Lineage: Bacteria
Description: bacterial SSU rRNA
Rfam family: Bacterial small subunit ribosomal RNA
Source: RNAcentral